Long non-coding RNA from Ictalurus punctatus (channel catfish), 1204 nucleotides. RefSeq lists it as uncharacterized. Lineage: Eukaryota; Metazoa; Chordata; Actinopteri; Siluriformes; Ictaluridae. The record is from RefSeq and is a predicted model, not a curated record. The transcript has 5 exons.
GGGCACGUGAACAAAAGUGCGAAUCUCAUUGGGCGGCCGGUUUUUGCUGCUUUUCCGCCACGUGUUUUAUGCCCGAGUGUGAAAACUCAUUGACAGCGACAGGAGGCGUUAAACAGACCGUUUUGAACCAUCCCCGUGUGAACAGGGCUUUAGGUGUUCAUUGUGUGCAUUGUAGUGCGUUGUUCCUGUCGUGGAAAUUAGACAACACUCACAGACUCGUCCUCUGAAGGUAAAAAGGUUUAUUACAGAAAGAUGGUUAAUACAGGAUAGAAUAAAGCAGGACAGAAUAAUGAGAGCGCUCUGAAAUCCUUGUACUAAACCACUACUAUAUAUAUGAAACGCAGAGCAUGACAUCAUUCUGUGUACCGAUAAGAAGCAGUUUGAGGCAGUUCAAACAGGCUUUGUUUUAGGAUCUUAGAUGAUGUUUAGAUGAGCCUAGAACAGAAGAACAUGUUUGUGUCUCUGUAAGCAGAUAAACAUUCUGAUCUCAGUGACAUCACAUGGCCUUCUGAGUCGUUAUCCUCACAUGAGAAUGAAACAGAACAAGAAUAAAACUAUUUCAAAGUAAAAAUGAAUAAUUUCCCUCAGAGUGUAAUGAACAGAAUCUGCUGUUUGUUAAUAACUGGAAUCUGUUCUGGGAGCGUCCUAGGUUGUUUCGUCCUGAUGGCCUGCACCCUAGCAGCCUCGGAGCGGAACUGCUGUCUGACAACAUCUCCAAGACGCUACACUCCAAGUGACUGUCUACCUCAAUGGUGCAACAAGGUAUCUGGACUAGAUGACCUAUCUGGCCUUUGAUUAGGCCUACUGCAUCUUCUGAUGGAGAUGUACAACGAAGUGCGUGAGUUUAAAAGACCUGUGUUCCUGUAGGUGUUGAGAGGAUAGUGUGGAGGAUACGUUUGGCUCGGAUCAGGAGGAUCCUUAGGCUCUUGCCAGAGUUUCUGCGCAUGUGGUGUUGGCAGUUCAGGAGCAGAGACGAGCGACUCUGAUCGCAAUCAUCCGUGAUCUAAGGUGGCAACUUCAGCGCAUAGGGUUCAUUACGCACCGGUUUCACUGAUCGCAUUUAACGUGCAGCCGAGAAGCUGACGGAAGGUGAGCUGCAUGAUGGCAGGCUGAUCGCCGAUCAGAAGAAGGAGGUGGAAGAUUGAGGAGCUGAUUUUUAUUUUGUUUUUUUUUUGUUAAAUAAAAGGUUUCUUUAAACAACCAA